Molecule: ribosomal RNA, 182 nt
Filed under: uncultured bacterium
Lineage: Bacteria
Description: partial 16S ribosomal RNA
Rfam family: Bacterial small subunit ribosomal RNA
Source: RNAcentral
CGUGAAGCUGGAUUCGCUAGUAAUCGCGGAUCAGAAUGCCGCGGUGAAUACGUUCCCGGGUCUUGUACACACCGCCCGUCACGCCAUGGGAGUCGGAAAUGCCCGAAGUCUGUGACCCAACCUUAGGGAGGGAGCAGCCGAAGGCAGGUCGGAUGACUGGGGUGAAGUCGUAACAAGGUAUC